Asparagus officinalis (garden asparagus) is the source of this 188-nucleotide long non-coding RNA. RefSeq lists it as uncharacterized. Lineage: Eukaryota; Viridiplantae; Streptophyta; Magnoliopsida; Asparagales; Asparagaceae. The record is from RefSeq and is a predicted model, not a curated record. The transcript is spliced from 3 exons.
AUCUGAUGCUAGAAAUUUCUUGGAUGGUGAUCUUAUUGAAUCUUUCCUUGAUCUUAACCGUGUGAAAGGGAAUUAUCCUGAAUGGGAUGAGCACCAUCCAAUUCAUUUUGUUGGGCACUCGGCUGGAGCUCAAGUUAUUCGAGUGUUGCAGCAAAUGCUAGCCGAUAAGACCUUUGAAGGCUAUGACA